CACUACGGAUGCGAUAUACUUUCGGCCGCUAGCGCUCCCGUGGCGCUCUUCUGUGUUUUGGCACCCCGGGAAAUUUGAAUUCGCAGAGGAAGAAGAAGAAGAAAACACACAGCGGCGAUCGCCUCGGUUGUUUAAUUCAACGCAGUCUCAAGCGUGUAUUCAAGAGAGCACUGUUUCUACACUGCUUGUGCCCUUGCUAUCAUCUUUUCCUGGAACCCAAGCAGAUCCUCAGUCAGAUACAGGAACUACAUAUAUGCCACCGCCUUGCCUGCGACCCGUACUGGACCAGUGAAGACUGGUGGCAGGGUGUUUGUACUGGACCACAAACGUGGAGCCCAUUGACAACUUGCUUAAUAAACACCAUGGGAAGAAGGACAUCCUCAGGACUAUGCAGCAAUGGUCCACAAUUCCUCUACUGAUCCAAACAGCAUGCUCCAUUCGACCACAAAACUGCACAUUUCACAGUAUGACAAGCACCUGGCCAAACUGCUGAACACCAGUUCAUCAUUAAACAACUCCAGAGAAACGUCUUUAAAGCAGGUAGUAAAACAACCAGAGUGCCAGUGGUAACAAUGAAGCCUGUGAAUGUAAACCCACCAGCACCUGCUCUGACCACACUCCUAACUCAUGAGACAAUUGAGAGAAUAGUAUUAUGGAGCGGCAGCAGCAACAGCAAACUGAGCAGGAGAAGAAGAAACAAACAAAGACUUGUCUUGCUUGUGGACAGCCAAAGAUGGUUCCUCUAUCCACUUUUUUUUUAAUCAGGCCCUGUCAGGUACUUCUACUGUUCCACAGAGGUUUUUAAUGCUUACGGUGAUUAAGGACUAACAAAUCCCAGAAUGCCAUUCCAAGACUUUAUGGAAAUUGAGUUCUUUAAGAGUGAAUUUGAGGACACAAAGAAACUGGUGGAGGAGAGAGGACAGCAAAAACACAAAAGGCAUAAAACUGAACACGUUGGUUGCUUGUGCAGAUUGUGUAAAAUGGAAUUGAAGCAGGGUUCUAACAGUCCUCACAUACACAGGCUUUCCUGGCGUAGCCGGGAAAUAUGUUCAUUGCCCUGCUAAAGUCUUUUUCAUUUACUAACCUCAGGGCAUUCAGAAAGAGAUGACCUGGAAAGAUGGAAAGACAGAGAUGGGUGGCAGAAAAAAAGAAAUAAAUUAUAUUCUUUUGCCCCUUAGUAAUAUUUAACUCAUGUAUA
Molecule: long non-coding RNA, 1198 nt
Organism: Sinocyclocheilus anshuiensis
Lineage: Eukaryota; Metazoa; Chordata; Actinopteri; Cypriniformes; Cyprinidae
Exons: 3
Source: RefSeq, a predicted model, not a curated record